CGCACGCUGUUCCGGCCCCUGUAAUCGUCAGCUAAUGCUGCUUUUGGUCCUAUUGCCAGCCUAGAAUCUAGGUCAAGGGUUUCCAAACUGUGUCCCCCGGAGCCCUCCUGUGGGAGCGGAAGGGGGCGGCCUCUGACCCUCCAGCUAGAAUAGCUAGACUUCGAUCUCUGAUAAAAUACUAGUAGCUCCUUCGUGAGUCUCGCUGGGUACCAGGCAUGCACAGGGACUCUGCCUCCACGAUUGCCUUUUGUCCUCAUGAAACCCCAAGAUGAUUGGAGGCUGAGGCUGAGCAGCGUGCCCCGGGUCUCAAAGCGUGCAGGAGCAGAGCCGAGACUCAGACCCAGUGUCCACUCUGAGCCACCAGGAAUACGGGUUCCAAAGCUAGAGAGAAAACAAGGACUUUGGACCCCAGGAUGCGGGUAGACGAGCAAACACAGGGAGGACAGAUGGCGAGGCAGGGGUGUGAGGUGCCUGCUCAUUUUAUAGAUGAAGAAACGAAGGCUCGGUCGUCCACCAGAGCCCGCAUCCUGUUAUAUCAUUACAAAGGGAGGUGUCUUGGUUUGUUUUGGGAAUCCACGAAACAGAUGUUUCACUCAAAACGUCUUGGCGGCUGGACCACGAGUGAGGAGCUGCACAGGCACCUUCCUCCAGCACAGAUGCUCCAGGACCCAGACACAGACCCCAGAAGAGUGCAGACUUGGCUGGGAGAGUCCAGACGAGAAAGUGGCCGAGAGUGUCAGCCCCAGGGGCCCCCCGUGCCGGAAAUCCCGACAGCUGCCUGGCUUACAGGUCCUGGGCACUGGGCCCUGACCCAGGGCAGGCGGCGGCCGUGUCAGGUGUCCAGAGGAGUUGGGGGAGGUGACGGCUGGAACCGGGGGCUGUCUGCCCAUGGUUAGCGAGGCUGUCAACACCUCCUGGCCUGCCAAGGCAGAGCAGGGCCAGGGGGCUGGGGCUAGGUCCUGCCUGGCCUGGAGGGUCUGAGGGGAGAGACAGGCCCUGUCCUGAGGGUCUGGGAAAGGAAGCACAGUCUUGUCCUAGGCUGAGAGACCUGCCCAAGAAACCCGAGGAGGGGGACAGACCCUUGGCCUUAGGGGUUGGUAAAGGGGGUAUAUUUCCUAAUGGCCGAUGGGGAAUGGGGUGUGGGGUGUUGUCCCAGCCUGUCAAGAGAGAAGGCUGCCCAAUAUCUUGGACUUGAGGGAGCUCUGGACCUGCCCCUCCCUCAUCACCACUCAGCCGAGAGGCAGUCAGGUCUGCAGGCGCAGGCAAGAGCCCUGUGGCCUCAGGCUGACACCACCAACAGUCCCAGGGCUUCACGUCCUCAUCCAGGAAAGGAGAUGGUUUAGCCCCGGCCAGAUUUUCCUCAGCCCUGGGGAGGAACUUUGCCUCUCCGCUGAUGAAGACAGGGGAGGAGGGGGCAGGCUAGCCUCAGAGACCCGGUUCUAGGGGAGCCUCUCUCCGGAUGGGCCCCACCUGCCCACUCGACCCAUGCACCCUAGCUCUCCUAAGGCCUACUUGCUCACCCACUCUGGGGACACCUCCCCAGGCAGUCUUCCUGGGUUGAUACAGAUGAGGAGGCACCAUGUUCCCACCUCCCACAGGAGGCCUGGAGUGCCCACGCUGCCCUAGCUCCUUGGAGGCCCUGCCAGCAGAGCCUGACUUUAUGAAGGCUUUGGGCCUCCAUCUCUCUUCUCCCACUUUCUUCUCCCGGCUCUCUCCUAGACCCCAGUCCUCUGGUUCUGGCUGAACCAGGCCCUCUGCCACACCAGGUCUGGGGGCUUCUCCCAUCUCAGCUGUCCCUGCUGCUCAGUCUGGGGCUUUGGCUGCCCCCUCUUUGCUCAGUCCCCUACCCUGUGUCUCUGCCACUUCUCCCUGGAUUUGUCUUUGUCCUUUUUUCUCUGACUCAGACCUGCUUCUCGGUUUUAGUCUCCAUCUCUGCCCCUCUCUACCUCUGUCUGGUCCAGCCUUAGGAACCUCAGCCUCUCGGGCCCUGUUGCUCUGGGACCCUGUCCUGGCAGUGUCUGCUCUCCCCACCAGGCCAGGAUGCCUGAUCGGACAUCUGCUCCAAUGUCCGCUUGCUGGGCCCCAUGAAGCACUCAGACAACACUUGUGGUCUCAGCUCUGGCCCAGUUCCAGGGGAACUGCUGUGAUUCCCAGAAGUCAAGAGAGGGCGGGUCAUGUGCUUGCCUGCCCCUUGGAAGGUCUAAUGGCCCUGGGCCCUCCCUUGGCUUAGGCCUCUGGCCAUGGUCCCUGCACCAGUUCCCAACCCCCAACAGCAUGGUCUUCAUGUUUCACCCCACCACGGAGGGCUGGUAGCUGCGUGACCCUGAGCUUCUGGCAAGUUCUGAACUUCAGUUUCCUCUUCUACAGAGUGGGGCCAAUAGGGACUGCUCUGGCAGAUGUCAGGAUGAAGUGUCCGUGCACUGGCUGGGCACUUGGCACUGUGCCUAGCACGUAGUGGCGCUCGACAGAGUCCCCGUUACUGUUACUGUGACUAUUAUUCCCCCGGGUCCCCAGAGCCUUGAUGGGUGGGGUGCAGGAUGGGCUGAGCCUCUGUUGCUUGAAGUGUCCCAUGUCCACCCUGCAUCCCAUACCCGUUCCUUCCUCUGUUGGACAAAAGAUCAUCCCCCUACACCUGGGACCUCCCUGUCCUCAGAGUCAGCCUGAACUGCACACUGUGGAGCUCACCAAAUUAAUUACUGCUGGCUUGGGGAUAUGCUUUUUAAGAAGACAUUUUUCCAGGGGGAAAAACACGCAGGAGCUAUAAUUAGUUGGAAGAGGAAAGAAUCACGGAGCGUGUGAAUCACCAGGCCCAGUGACAGACGGUUAGAGCCGAGCAGAAGUUUG
Hipposideros armiger (great roundleaf bat) is the source of this 2844-nucleotide long non-coding RNA. RefSeq lists it as uncharacterized. NCBI's taxonomy places the organism in Eukaryota, Metazoa, Chordata, Mammalia, Chiroptera, Hipposideridae. The transcript is spliced from 4 exons. The record is from RefSeq and is a predicted model, not a curated record.